AGAGUUUGAUCCUGGCUCAGGACGAACGCUGGCGGCGUGCUUAACACAUGCAAGUCGAACGAUGAACCGCUUUCGGGCGGGGAUUAGUGGCGAACGGGUGAGUAACACGUGGGCAAUCUGCCCUGCACUCUGGGACAAGCCCUGGAAACGGGGUCUAAUACCGGAUAUGACCGUCUUCCGCAUGGUGGAUGGUGUAAAGCUCCGGCGGUGCAGGAUGAGCCCGCGGCCUAUCAGCUUGUUGGUGAGGUAGUGGCUCACCAAGGCGACGACGGGUAGCCGGCCUGAGAGGGCGACCGGCCACACUGGGACUGAGACACGGCCCAGACUCCUACGGGAGGCAGCAGUGGGGAAUAUUGCACAAUGGGCGAAAGCCUGAUGCAGCGACGCCGCGUGAGGGAUGACGGCCUUCGGGUUGUAAACCUCUUUCAGCAGGGAAGAAGCGAAAGUGAC
RNAcentral lists this ribosomal RNA (450 nucleotides) under Streptomyces albidoflavus. Its description in RNAcentral is "bacterial SSU rRNA". It matches the Rfam family "Bacterial small subunit ribosomal RNA", at positions 8 to 473 of the family's 1533-position model. The record is from RNAcentral. Lineage: Bacteria; Bacillati; Actinomycetota; Actinomycetes; Kitasatosporales; Streptomycetaceae.